UUUACCCCAAGAGUAAGGCAGAUCAUGAGUUCCAUUUGUGGAUUUUACUUAUUAGAACUGUUGCCAUAACUACAUCUGUGGAAAUAAUUUUAUAUGAAAAAAAUAUCGAUUGCAACAUUUAUCAAAUUCCUCAAAAAUAUUUUUACAAGUCUGCCUCAAACCCUUUUCUCUUUGUUCUUUUUUAUUUCUCUCAAACUAUUUUCUCUUUCUUUUAAACACAUAUCUCUAUGGGGAUAUCAACAAGGUGAACUCAUCACCGAUGACCAAUGCUUUCCCCGAAAAAAUCAACAAGGCGAUACCAUCUCCGAAAAAGUUUUUCUCUUUCUCUCUCUUUAUUUAGAAGACAAGACGAAAGAGGACUAAUUUAUGUUUUGAAUCUCCAUCUCAUCUAAUUUCUCUCUUAGUGUUACAGUGCCUGGAUUUAGCUAUUUCAGAUUGAACUUGUUGUUUUAGGAUUUUCUUCAUCAAUUUAGAGUUCUUAAAGUUAGUGUAUUUGGUUGAUUGACAAUUUGAUCUACCUUUUUGUGUUGCUGGACGUCUUCAAUUAGGGAUUUUGUUCUUCUUAGAGACCAUAUUUCUCUAGACAUUUAUGUUGGAUCUCCAUUGCAUGAGUUAUUAAGUUGGGUAUGUGAUCUAAAUUAAUUAGUGUUGUGCUUUUGUAUACUAGUCUACGGUUAUUUCUUCAAUUUCUAUUGGAUUUUCCAUUGCAUGAGCUAUUAAGCUGAGUAACUGAAUUGUGU
This 740-nucleotide long non-coding RNA is filed under the name Capsicum annuum. RNAcentral's name for it is "long non-coding RNA (CANN_LNC019325)". The record is from RNAcentral. Lineage: Eukaryota; Viridiplantae; Streptophyta; Magnoliopsida; Solanales; Solanaceae.